This is a long non-coding RNA of Pseudopipra pipra, 663 nucleotides long. RefSeq lists it as uncharacterized. Lineage: Eukaryota; Metazoa; Chordata; Aves; Passeriformes; Pipridae. The record is from RefSeq and is a predicted model, not a curated record. The transcript has 3 exons.
CAGCAGCAUUUGGCCCCUUCUCUCCAACAUCCCAGCCCAAGACAGCACUAAUUAAUUUAUGGCUUCUGGGGAGAGGACAAGCUAAGCCUUAAAUUAAACUUUCCACUUCAACAGGCAUCUCAGCAGGAAUCAGAACCCUGUCCUGGCCAAAGGACAAGUAGAGCUGUGACUGGCUCCAUGUAUCUUGGAAGAGAUGGAGACGCUGCUCCUGGUGGCAUUGGCAGGUGGCUGUGAUGGGAAGGGAUUUGGAAACUGGCAGGCAAGCAGCACAUGCCUGGAGCUCAGCAAAUAUGUGAUCACCAGCCAUGGAACAAAAGCCAUUGUGAAGAAGCAUCAGCCAGAGGAACGAGUGGAAUCUUCUUGGCAACAACAGCAAGGUGUUGGAAGAGCACCCAGGCUCUGAGCUCCCAGCAUGAGCAGCUCUGCUCUCACUGCAUCAUUAUCCCAGCAUUCAGAGCUUAAAUAGGGCCUGAAAGCUGAAAUAGGACCUUUUAAACUGACAGAGGAUUUUUUUCAUGCAUGAAAUGACAAGACUCCAGGAGGAAGAGCCUCAAAAAUGCCCCAAAUGUGAUGGAUUUUGGGCAGUGCUGGUUGAAGGGGCAGAGGAAGCUUUAUAUUCAUCUUCUGAAGAGCUGAGGAGAUGUACAGAGCUGUCUGCCUCCA